GACGAACGCUGGCGGCGUGCUUAACACAUGCAAGUCGAACGGUGAAGCGCCUUCCUUUUUGGUGGGUGUGGAUGAGUGGCGAACGGGUGAGUAACACGUGAGUAACCUGCCCCCUUCUUCUGGAUAACCGCAUGAAAGUGUGGCUAAUACGGGAUAUUCUGGGUCUGUCGCAUGAUGGGUCUGGGAAAGAUAUUGUUUCGGUGGGGGAUGGGCUCGCGGCCUAUCAGCUUGUUGGUGGGGUGAUGGCCUACCAAGGCGGUGACGGGUAGCCGGCCUGAGAGGGUGGACGGUCACACUGGGACUGAGACGCGGCGCAGACUCCUACGGGAGGCAGCAGUGGGGAAUAUUGCACAAUGGGCGCAAGCCUGAUGCAGCGACGCCGCGUGAGGGAUGGAGGCCUUCGGGUUGUGAACCUCUUUCGCCAGUGAAGCAGGCCUGCCUCGUUUGUGGGUGGGUUGACGGUAGCUGGAUAAGAAGCGCCGGCUAACUACGUG
Molecule: ribosomal RNA, 494 nt
Filed under: uncultured bacterium
Lineage: Bacteria
Description: partial 16S ribosomal RNA
Rfam family: Bacterial small subunit ribosomal RNA
Source: RNAcentral